AUUGAACGCUGGCGGCAGGCUUAACACAUGCAAGUCGAGCGGAGAUGAGGUGCUUGCACCUUAUCUUAGCGGCGGACGGGUGAGUAAUGCUUAGGAAUCUGCCUAUUAGUGGGGGACAACAUUCCGAAAGGAAUGCUAAUACCGCAUACGUCCUACGGGAGAAAGCAGGGGAUCUUCGGACCUUGCGCUAAUAGAUGAGCCUAAGUCGGAUUAGCUAGUUGGUGGGGUAAAGGCCUACCGAGGCGACGAUCUGUAGCGGGUCUGAGAGGAUGAUCCGCCACACUGGGACUGAGACACGGCCCAGACUCCUACGGGAGGCAGCAGUGGGGAAUAUUGGACGAUGGGGGAAACCCUGAUCCAGCCAUGCCGCGUGUGUGAAGAAGGCCUUAUGGUUGUAAAGCACUUUAAGCGAGGAGGAGGCUACUGAGACUAAUACUCUUGGAUAGUGGACGUUACUCGCAGAAUAAGCACCGGCUAACUCUGUGCCAGCCGCCGCAGUAA
Molecule: ribosomal RNA, 501 nt
Filed under: uncultured bacterium
Lineage: Bacteria
Description: partial 16S ribosomal RNA
Rfam family: Bacterial small subunit ribosomal RNA
Source: RNAcentral